CCCUGCCAUUUGUACACACCGCCCGUCGCUAGUACCGAUUGAAUGGCUUAGUGAGACCUCCGGAUUGGCGACUCAUUGGUGGAAACACCAUAGAGCUGCCGAGAAGUUGGUCAAACUUGGUCAUUUAGAGGAACUAAAAGUCGUAACAAGGU
Molecule: ribosomal RNA, 152 nt
Filed under: uncultured eukaryote
Lineage: Eukaryota
Description: partial small subunit ribosomal RNA
Rfam family: Eukaryotic small subunit ribosomal RNA
Source: RNAcentral